This 917-nucleotide ribosomal RNA is filed under the name uncultured bacterium. RNAcentral describes it as "bacterial SSU rRNA". It matches the Rfam family "Bacterial small subunit ribosomal RNA", at positions 8 to 916 of the family's 1533-position model. The record is from RNAcentral.
AGAGUUUGAUCAUGGCUCAGGAUGAACGCUAGCGGCAGGCUUAAUACAUGCAAGUCGAGGGGCAGCAGGUCUGUAGCAAUACAGAUGCUGGCGACCGGCAAACGGGUGCGGAACACGUACGCAACCUUCCUUCAGGUGGGGGAUAGCCCGGGGAAACCCGGAUUAAUACCCCGUAAUAUUAUGAGGUGGCAUCACCUUAUAAUUAUAGCCGCAAGGCGCCAGAAGAUGGGCGUGCGCCUGAUUAGGUAGUUGGCGGGGUAACGGCCCACCAAGCCUACGAUCAGUAACUGGUGUGAGAGCACGACCAGUCACACGGGCACUGAGACACGGGCCCGACUCCUACGGGAGGCAGCAGUAAGGAAUAUUGGGCAAUGGACGAAAGUCUGACCCAGCCAUGCCGCGUGGAGGAUGAAGGUCCUCUGGAUUGUAAACUUCUUUUAUCUGGGAAGAAACCCACGGUUUCCACUGUGGUUGACGGUACCAGAUGAAUAAGCACCGGCUAACUCCGUGCCAGCAGCCGCGGUAAUACGGAGGGUGCAAGCGUUAUCCGGAUUCACUGGGUUUAAAGGGUGCGUAGGUGGGUUGCCAAGUCCGUGGUGAAAUCUCUGAGCUUAACUCAGAAACUGCCGUGGAUACUGGUAAUCUUGAAUAUCGCGGAGGUAAGCGGAAUAUGUCAUGUAGCGGUGAAAUGCUUAGAUAUGACAUAGAACACCGAUAGCGAAGGCAGCUUACUACACGAUCAUUGACACUGAGGCACGAAAGCGUGGGGGAGCAAACAGGAUUAGAUACCCUGGUAGUCCACGCCCUAAACGAUGAUUACUCGACAUACGCGAUACACUGUGUGUGUCUGAGCGAAAGCAUUAAGUAAUCCACCUGGGAAGUACGACCGCAAGGUUGAAACUCAAAGGAAUUGACGG